UUCAUCGUCACAGGAAUAUGACGUUUCAAGAGACAGACUUUUUGUCAAUCCAAUCAAAAUUCAGUGUGUACAUGCGCCAACCGGAAGAAGGUGAAAAGUAGGCAAUGUUAGUAUUGACUGUCUCUAUUGGCAUUAUCCAGUCCCAAUACUACUACAUAGACUUGUCCAGACAAAACAAUGGCUUACAGGAGAGACCGAAACAUAAGGGAUGUCUAUGACGAACGCUUCCUAUCAGACAGACCGGCCCCAUAUCCCAGAUCAGCUGGAGCAGGGCCUGUAGAGAGGAGGCCGGCUGGUUUCGGAAGGCCAGACGAGGAGUACAAUCGAGGGUUUGAGUACGACGGGCCUCGCUUUUAUCCAAAUGGAGGCCCUCGAGGUUACCAUGGCGAGGAUCAAAGAGGCUACCAUGGCGACAGCCUUCAUUUUCCUAACGAGCGCAGAGGUAUCCCACCUUCCCGGAGAGUAAGUGGCUUGUUGUCAGAC
Molecule: long non-coding RNA, 483 nt
Organism: Salvelinus fontinalis (brook trout)
Lineage: Eukaryota; Metazoa; Chordata; Actinopteri; Salmoniformes; Salmonidae
Exons: 4
Source: RefSeq, a predicted model, not a curated record